AACGAACGCUGGCGGCAGGCUUAACACAUGCAAGUCGAACGCGUGUAGCAAUACACGAGUGGCGCACGGGUGAGUAACGCGUGGAUAUCUGCCUUUUGGUUCGGAAUAACUCCGGGAAACUGGAGCUAAUACCGGAUGGUUCCUACGGGAUAAAGAUUUAUCGCCAAAAGAUGAGUCCGCGUACGAUUAGCUAGUUGGUGAGGUAAUGGCUCACCAAGGCGACGAUCGUUAGCUGGUCUGAGAGGACGAUCAGCCACACUGGGACUGAGACACGGCCCAGACUCCUACGGGAGGCAGCAGUGGGGAAUAUUGGACAAUGGGCGAAAGCCUGAUCCAGCAAUGCCGCGUGAGUGAUGAAGGCCCUAGGGUUGUAAAGCUCUUUUACCAGGGAUGAUAAUGACAGUACCUGGAGAAUAAGCUUCGGCUAACUCCGUGCCAGCAGCCGCGGUAAU
Molecule: ribosomal RNA, 452 nt
Filed under: uncultured bacterium
Lineage: Bacteria
Description: bacterial SSU rRNA
Rfam family: Bacterial small subunit ribosomal RNA
Source: RNAcentral